AACGCUGGCGGCAUGCCUUACACAUGCAAGUCGAACGGCAGCACGGGAGCAAUCCUGGUGGCGAGUGGCGAACGGGUGAGUAAUAUAUCGGAACGUGCCCGGUCGUGGGGGAUAACGUAGCGAAAGCUACGCUAAUACCGCAUACGAUCUACGGAUGAAAGCGGGGGAUCGCAAGACCUCGCGCGAUUGGAGCGGCCGAUAUCAGAUUAGGUAGUUGGUGAGGUAAAGGCUCACCAAGCCGACGAUCUGUAGCUGGUCUGAGAGGACGACCAGCCACACUGGGACUGAGACACGGCCCAGACUCCUACGGGAGGCAGCAGUGGGAAUUUUGGACAAUGGGCGCAAGCCUGAUCCAGCAAUGCCGCGUGCAGGAUGAAGGCCUUCGGGUUGUAAACUGCUUUGUACGGAACGAAACGGUGAGCUCUAAUACAGUUUGCUAAUGACGGUACCGUAAGAAUAAGCACCGGCUAACUACGUG
RNAcentral lists this ribosomal RNA (478 nucleotides) under uncultured bacterium. RNAcentral's name for it is "bacterial SSU rRNA". It matches the Rfam family "Bacterial small subunit ribosomal RNA", at positions 32 to 507 of the family's 1533-position model. The record is from RNAcentral.